Molecule: ribosomal RNA, 319 nt
Filed under: uncultured bacterium
Lineage: Bacteria
Description: bacterial SSU rRNA
Rfam family: Bacterial small subunit ribosomal RNA
Source: RNAcentral
GAUGAACGCUAGCGGCAGGCCUAACACAUGCAAGUCGAGGGGCAGCACGUCUUCGGAUGGUGGCGACCGGCGCACGGGUGCGUAACGCGUAUGCAACCUACCUCUUACAGUGGGAUAGCCCAGAGAAAUUUGGAUUAAUACCGCAUAGUAUACAGAUUCAGCAUUGGGACUGUAUUAAACAUUUAUGGGUAAGAGAUGGGCAUGCGUUCUAUUAGUUAGUUGGAGUGGUAACGGCCACCCAAGACAGCGAUAGAGUACGGGCCCUGAGGAGGGGACCUCCCCGACACGUGGUACUGAGACGACGGACCAGACUCCGUAC